Molecule: ribosomal RNA, 476 nt
Filed under: uncultured bacterium
Lineage: Bacteria
Description: bacterial SSU rRNA
Rfam family: Bacterial small subunit ribosomal RNA
Source: RNAcentral
AGGACGAACGCUGGCGGCACGCCUAACACAUGCAAGUCGAACGGAGAUUGAGAGCUUGCUCUUAAAUCUUAGUGGCGGACGGGUGAGUAACACGUGAGCAACCUGCCUCUGAGAGAGGGAUAGCUUCUGGAAACGGAUGGUAAUACCUCAUAACAUAGCUGGACCGCAUGAUCCGGUUAUCAAAGAUUUAUCACUCAGAGAUGGGCUCGCGUCUGAUUAGCUAGUUGGUGAGGUAACGGCCCACCAAGGCGACGAUCAGUAGCCGGACUGAGAGGUUGAACGGCCACAUUGGGACUGAGACACGGCCCAGACUCCUACGGGAGGCAGCAGUGAGGGAUAUUGCACAAUGGAGGAAACUCUGAUGCAGCGAUGCCGCGUGGAGGAAGAAGGUUUUCGGAUUGUAAACUCCUGUUUCGAGGGACGAUAAUGACGGUACCUCGGGAGGAAGCUCCGGCUAACUACGUGCCAGCCGCGGC